GGCAGCUUGGCCGAGUGGUUAAGGCGAUAGACUAGAAAUCUAUUGGGGUAACCCGCGUGAGCUCAAAUCUCACAGCUGUCG
Molecule: transfer RNA, 81 nt
Filed under: Phytophthora infestans (potato late blight agent)
Lineage: Eukaryota; Oomycota; Peronosporomycetes; Peronosporales; Peronosporaceae
Also listed under: 1 other name
Description: tRNA-Ser
Rfam family: tRNA
About the family: Transfer RNA (tRNA) molecules are approximately 80 nucleotides in length. Their secondary structure includes four short double-helical elements and three loops (D, anti-codon, and T loops). Further hydrogen bonds mediate the characteristic L-shaped molecular structure. tRNAs have two regions of fundamental functional importance: the anti-codon, which is responsible for specific mRNA codon recognition, and the 3' end, to which the tRNAs corresponding amino acid is attached (by aminoacyl-tRNA synthetases). tRNAs cope with the degeneracy of the genetic code in two manners: having more than one tRNA (with a specific anti-codon) for a particular amino acid; and 'wobble' base-pairing, i.e. permitting non-standard base-pairing at the 3rd anti-codon position.
Source: RNAcentral